GAUUAUGGCUCAGGAUGAACGCUAGCUACAGGCUUAACACAUGCAAGUCGAGGGGCAGCAUGGGAGUUGCUUGCAAUUCCUGAUGGCGACCGGCGCACGGGUGAGUAACGCGUAUCCAACCUUCCCCUUAGUAGGGCAUAGCCCGGUGAAAAUCGGAUUAAUACCCUAUGUUCUUCACAGCGGACAUCUAACGUGAAGCAAAGGUUCACCGCUAAGGGAUGGGGAUGCGUCUGAUUAGGUAGUCGGCGGGGUAACGGCCCACCGAGCCAUCGAUCAGUAGGGGUUCUGAGAGGAAGGUCCCCCACAUUGGAACUGAGACACGGUCCAAACUCCUACGGGAGGCAGCAGUGAGGAAUAUUGGUCAAUGGGCGCGAGCCUGAACCAGCCAAGUAGCGUGCCAGGAUGACGGCCCUAUGGGUUGUAAACUGCUUUUAUGCGGGGAUAAAGUCACCCACGUGUGGGUGUUUGCAGGUACCGCAUGAAUAAGGACCGGCUAAUUCCGUGCCAGCCGCCGC
This 515-nucleotide ribosomal RNA is filed under the name uncultured bacterium. Its description in RNAcentral is "bacterial SSU rRNA". It matches the Rfam family "Bacterial small subunit ribosomal RNA", at positions 15 to 518 of the family's 1533-position model. The record is from RNAcentral.